AAAAGUCGUAACAAGGUCUCCGUUGGUGAACCAGCGGAGGGAUCAUUACCGAGUUUACAAACUCCCAAACCCCUGUGAACAUACCUACGUUGCUUCGGCGGGAGAGCCCCGGCGCCUCAGUGCCCGGAGGAAGGCGCCCGCCGGAGGACCCAAACUCUUGCAUUGCUGUGGAUUAUCUGGGUGGCGCAAGCAAAUAAAUCAAAACUUUCAACAACGGAUCUCUUGGUUCUG
Molecule: unclassified non-coding RNA, 231 nt
Filed under: fungal sp.
Lineage: Eukaryota; Fungi
Description: partial internal transcribed spacer region
Rfam family: Eukaryotic small subunit ribosomal RNA (bases 1-48)
Source: RNAcentral